CAGGGAGACAACAAAAUGUUAAAUAUUAAUUUUGUCACCUUAGGUCGAUCGGUACCUCAGAUUCUUAACUAUAGUUAUGAAUUUCAAUUCCUAAGUUUUUUCUAGGUCACACCCAUUACUUUUCCUGGGCCAUUAGCUCAGGUGGUUAGAGCGCACCCCUGAUAAGGGUGAGGUCCCUGGUUCAAGUCCAGGAUGGCCCAUAUCUCUAUGUUGGGGGUAUAGCUCAGUUGGUAGAGCGCCUGCUUUGCAAGCAGGAUGUCAGCGGUUCGAGUCCGCUUACCUCCACUGAUUACCACCUCUACCAUAUUUCUAAGGAAUUGUUCUGAGAUUUACCUUUGUUCUGAGCGAAUCUAGCUUCCUAAUUAUUAAAAUUAAGAUGCUGGACUCAUUGAAUUUUAUUCAUUGUUUUCAGAGAACCUUGACAACUGCAUAGAUUAUUUUUAAAGACAAUAAGCAUCUUUAAUGAUGCAGAUUUAUUAUUUGUGCUAAUGCAUUAAAUAACAAUUCUAUUGAGCUGAUGCUUCAAUUUUUUGAAGUUAUU
RNAcentral lists this transfer RNA (541 nucleotides) under uncultured cyanobacterium. RNAcentral's name for it is "partial 16S-23S ribosomal RNA intergenic spacer". The stretch from base 213 to 285 matches the Rfam family "tRNA". The record is from RNAcentral. Lineage: Bacteria; Bacillati; Cyanobacteriota.